Molecule: ribosomal RNA, 111 nt
Filed under: Microtus ochrogaster (prairie vole)
Lineage: Eukaryota; Metazoa; Chordata; Mammalia; Rodentia; Cricetidae
Source: RNAcentral
GUUUAUAGCCAUACCACCCUGAAUGCACCCAAAGGCAUCUGAUCUCAGAAGCUAAGCAGGGCUGGGGCUGGUUAGUACUUGGAUGGCGGGAGAAGAGGGGUUCUUUCAGCU